UGGCGAACGGGUGAGUAACACGUGGGCAAUCUGCCCUUCACUCUGGGACAAGCCCUGGAAACGGGGUCUAAUACCGGAUAACACUCUGUCCCGCAUGGGACGGGGUUAAAAGCUCCGGCGGUGAAGGAUGAGCCCGCGGCCUAUCAGCUUGUUGGUGGGGUAAUGGCCUACCAAGGCGACGACGGGUAGCCGGCCUGAGAGGGCGACCGGCCACACUGGGACUGAGACACGGCCCAGACUCCUACGGGAGGCAGCAGUGGGGAAUAUUGCACAAUGGGCGAAAGCCUGAUGCAGCGACGCCGCGUGAGGGAUGACGGCCUUCGGGUUGUAAACCUCUUUCAGCAGGGAAGAAGCGAAAGUGACGGUACCUGCAGAAGAAGCGCCGGCUAACUACGUGCCAGCAGCCGCGGUAAUACGUAGGGCGCAAGCGUUGUCCGGAAUUAUUGGGCGUAAAGAGCUCGUAGGCGGCUUGUCACGUCGGAUGUGAAAGCCCGGGGCUUAACCCCGGGUCUGCAUUCGAUACGGGCUAGCUAGAGUGUGGUAGGGGAGAUCGGAAUUCCUGGUGUAGCGGUGAAAUGCGCAGAUAUCAGGAGGAACACCGGUGGCGAAGGCGGAUCUCUGGGCCAUUACUGACGCUGAGGAGCGAAAGCGUGGGGAGCGAACAGGAUUAGAUACCCUGGUAGUCCACGCCGUACACGUUGGGAACUAGGUGUUGGCGACAUUCCACGUCGUCGGUGCCGCAGCUAACGCAUUAAGUUCCCCGCCUGGGGAGUACGGCCGCAAGGCUAAAACUCAUAGGAAUUGACGGGGGCCCGCACAAGCAGCGGGAGCAUGUGGCUUAAUUCGACGCAACGCGGAGAACCCUUACCAAGGCUU
Molecule: ribosomal RNA, 876 nt
Filed under: Streptomyces sp. NCCP-1301
Lineage: Bacteria; Bacillati; Actinomycetota; Actinomycetes; Kitasatosporales; Streptomycetaceae
Description: bacterial SSU rRNA
Rfam family: Bacterial small subunit ribosomal RNA
Source: RNAcentral